UGACUUAGCGGGCUGGUUCUGAUUGAAGUUGUUGCAUAACUGUUGUGCAUGCUCUGCCUUGAUUGCUUAGCUUGAUUAGGAAUUGCAGGCUUGUGGGCUGAUGUGGCAUGUUGAAUUGUUGCAUAUACUCCAACACUAAUGCUGCAUCACUCAGUGUGUGUUCUACCCUUGUUUUAGGAAAUAUUCUCUCCGUGGAUUAAUAAGGAUCCACAGAAUACAGAAGUUGGAGGUGAAUUAUUUUCGGCGCUAUUGACCUGAAACACCAUCUAGGGGAUCAUACUUAUGUCUCAGUAACUGAUAGUGGUUACUGGCAGAUAGAGCUAGAAGGUCUUGACAUUGCAAACAGUUCAACAGGUCACUGUUCGGCAGAAUACUGCAUCAUGUGAAGAGAUGGCUACAACAAUGUCUACGGCAGAAUCUGUAGCUCUUAAAGGACUACCUCAAUGCAUUGUUACUGUG
Spinacia oleracea (spinach) is the source of this 459-nucleotide long non-coding RNA. RefSeq lists it as uncharacterized. The record is from RefSeq and is a predicted model, not a curated record. The transcript is spliced from 3 exons. NCBI's taxonomy places the organism in Eukaryota, Viridiplantae, Streptophyta, Magnoliopsida, Caryophyllales, Amaranthaceae.